AGCAGCGGACUGGUGAGUAAUGUAUGGGGAUCUGCCUGAUGGCGGGGGCUAACUCCUGUACACGGUAGCUAAUCCCGCAUACCAUCAGAUGACCCCAUCUGGGAUUAGCUAGUAGUUAAGGUAACGGCUUACCUAGGCGACGAUCCCUAGCUGGUCUGAGAGGAUGCUAAGCCACACUGUGACUGAGACACGGCCAAGAAGCAGACGGGAGGCAGAAGGGGGGAAUAUUGCAAAAGGGGCGAAAGAAUGAUUCAGCCAUGCCGCGUGUAGGAAGAAGGCCGUCGGGUUGGAAAGUAAUGUCAGUAGGGAGGCGUUACCGAAAGAAGAAGCACCGGAUAACUCCGGGCCAGCAGACGAGGGAAGUC
Molecule: ribosomal RNA, 365 nt
Filed under: uncultured bacterium
Lineage: Bacteria
Description: partial 16S ribosomal RNA
Rfam family: Bacterial small subunit ribosomal RNA
Source: RNAcentral